UUAGAGGGGUCAAUGCACACACUGAAAGAGAAGGUUUCUAUAAGUGCUGCUAUAUUCUGUAUGGAAGGUUAUGCGAAGUAGUUCCUUGCCGCUAUUGUCAGACGUCUUGGAAAUGGGUCUCUACAAAUAAAAGCAGUUUUUAAACCUUUACUUGAGGAAGUUAUGACCAAACAUGUC
Long non-coding RNA from Etheostoma spectabile (orangethroat darter), 177 nucleotides. RefSeq lists it as uncharacterized. The record is from RefSeq and is a predicted model, not a curated record. The transcript is spliced from 2 exons. NCBI's taxonomy places the organism in Eukaryota, Metazoa, Chordata, Actinopteri, Perciformes, Percidae.